This 266-nucleotide ribosomal RNA is filed under the name uncultured Sphingobacteriales bacterium. Its description in RNAcentral is "partial 16S ribosomal RNA". It matches the Rfam family "Bacterial small subunit ribosomal RNA", at positions 1117 to 1382 of the family's 1533-position model. Lineage: Bacteria; Pseudomonadati; Bacteroidota; Sphingobacteriia; Sphingobacteriales. The record is from RNAcentral.
GCCAUCAGGUUAAGCUGGGGACGUCUAAAGGAACUGCCUACGCAAGUAGUGAGGAAGCGGGGAUGACGUCAAAUCAGCACGGCCCUUACGUCCAGGGCUACACACGUGCUACAAUGGCCGAUACAGAGGGCAGCUACCUGGUGACAGGAUGCAAAUCUCCAAAGUCGGUCUCAGUUCGGAUCGGAGUCUGCAACCCGACUCCGUGAAGUUGGAUUCGCUAGUAAUCGCGCAUCAGCCAUGGCGCGGUGAAUACGUUCCCGGGCCUU